RNAcentral lists this unclassified non-coding RNA (291 nucleotides) under plant metagenome. RNAcentral's name for it is "partial contains small subunit ribosomal RNA, internal transcribed spacer 1, and 5.8S ribosomal RNA". The stretch from base 1 to 54 matches the Rfam family "Eukaryotic small subunit ribosomal RNA", at positions 1778 to 1831 of the family's 1831-position model. The record is from RNAcentral.
GGAAGUAAAAGUCGCAACAAGGUUUCCGUAGGUGAACCUGCGGAAGGAUCAUUAAUGAGUUGUCAUGGGGUUCGAUGCUGGCAGCCAAUUUUCGGAUGCAUGUGCUUGCCCUAACAAUCAUCUUCCAAACACCUGUGCACAUUUUUGAGGGAGUCUUGAGUUGGUUGCCGCUCUUGGGUGAUUUUCUCACAUUCCCUUAAAUCAUUAUACGCUAUUAACAAUGUUGAACGUGCUCUGUGCCGCAAGGCUAUUAAUAUAAUACAACUUUUAACAACGGAUCUCUUGGCUCUC